GUAAUGUCUGGGAAACUGCCUGAUGGAGGGGGAUAACUACUGGAAACGGUGGCUAAUACCGCAUAACGUCGCAAGACCAAAGAGGGGGACCUUCGGGCCUCUUGCCAUCAGAUGUGCCCAGAUGGGAUUAGCUUGUUGGUGAGGUAACGGCUCACCAAGGCGACGAUCCCUAGCUGGUCUGAGAGGAUGACCAGCCACACUGGAACUGAGACACGGUCCAGACUCCUACGGGAGGCAGCAGUGGGGAAUAUUGCACAAUGGGCGCAAGCCUGAUGCAGCCAUGCCGCGUGUAUGAAGAAGGCCUUCGGGUUGUAAAGUACUUUCAGCGGGGAGGAAGGUGUUGUGGUUAAUAACCGCAGCAAUUGACGUUACCCGCAGAAGAAGCACCGGCUAACUCCGUGCCAGCAGCCGCGGUAAUACGGAGGGUGCAAGCGUUAAUCGGAAUUACUGGGCGUAAAGCGCACGCAGGCGGUCUGUCAAGUCGGAUGUGAAAUCCCCGGGCUCAACCUGGGAACUGCAUUCGAAACUGGCAGGCUUGAGUCUUGUAGAGGGGGGUAGAAUUCCAGGUGUAGCGGUGAAAUGCGUAGAGAUCUGGAGGAAUACCGGUGGCGAAGGCGGCCCCCUGGACAAAGACUGACGCUCAGGUGCGAAAGCGUGGGGAGCAAACAGGAUUAGAUACCCUGGUAGUCCACGCCGUAAACGAUGUCUACUUGGAGGUUGUGCCCUUGAGGCGUGGCUUCCGGAGCUAACGCGUUAAGUAGACCGCCUGGGGAGUACGGCCGCAAGGUUAAAACUCAAAUGAAUUGACGGGGGCCCGCACAAGCGGUGGAGCAUGUGGUUUAAUUCGAUGCAACGCGAAGAACCUUACCUGGUCUUGACAUCCACGGAAGUUUUCAGAGAUGAGAAUGUGCCUUCGGGAACCGUGAGACAGGUGCUGCAUGGCUGUCGUCAGCUCGUGUUGUGAAAUGUUGGGUUAAGUCCCGCAACGAGCGCAACCCUUAUCCUUUGUUGCCAGCGGUUAGGCCGGGAACUCAAAGGAGACUGCCAGUGAUAAACUGGAGGAAGGUGGGGAUGACGUCAAGUCAUCAUGGCCCUUACGACCAGGGCUACACACGUGCUACAAUGGCGCAUACAAAGAGAAGCGACCUCGCGAGAGCAAGCGGACCUCAUAAAGUGCGUCGUAGUCCGGAUUGGAGUCUGCAACUCGACUCCAUGAAGUCGGAAUCGCUAGUAAUCGUGGAUCAGAAUGCCACGGUGAAUACGUUCCCGGGCCUUGUACACACCGCCCGUCACACCAUGGGAGUGGGUUGCAAAAGAAGUAGGUAGCUUAACCUCCGGGAGGGCGCUUACCACUUUGUGAUUCAUGACUGGGGUGAAGUCGUAACAAGGUAACCGUAGGGGAACCUGCGGUUGGAUCACCUCCUUACCUGAAAGAAGC
This 1438-nucleotide ribosomal RNA is filed under the name Salmonella enterica. RNAcentral's name for it is "bacterial SSU rRNA". It matches the Rfam family "Bacterial small subunit ribosomal RNA". The record is from RNAcentral. Lineage: Bacteria; Pseudomonadati; Pseudomonadota; Gammaproteobacteria; Enterobacterales; Enterobacteriaceae.